This is a long non-coding RNA of Amphiprion ocellaris (clown anemonefish), 2505 nucleotides long. RefSeq lists it as uncharacterized. Lineage: Eukaryota; Metazoa; Chordata; Actinopteri; Pomacentridae. The transcript is spliced from 2 exons. The record is from RefSeq and is a predicted model, not a curated record.
UGGGUCUUAAUAUGUUUUCUGUUGCAUUCUGAGAGAAGAUUUCUGAACUCUGAAUUAAAAUGCAGGCUUGUGAGCUUAGAAAGGAGGGAAAAUGCAUCUGUUUUCCCCUCUGCAAUCUGAUUUAUUUAUUUAUUUAUUGUAUUUGUUGGAGACAGUGUUUGGGUUGUGGGUGUCUUUAGGAGGCAGUUAAUGUGGUUGUGAGGUUGUGUGUCCAGUUGUAGCUUUGAUGUGAGAAGAAGUGUGGCGUUGGGCACAUCCCAUCCUCCAUCCCCACCCCCAUCUGCUGCACUUUUACUCUAUCUAUCUAUCUAUCUAUCUAUCUAUCUAUCUAUCUAUCUAUCUAUCUAUCUAUCUAUCUAUCUAUCUAUCUAUCUAUCUAUCUAUCUAUCUAUCUAUCUAUCUAUCUAUCUAUCUAUCUAUCUAUCUAUCUAUCUAUCUAUCUAUCGUCUGCGUUCAUUUUGCUCAUCAUCAAAGCCUUUCUCCGUGUGCAGAAACAUGAUGAAAACGCGUCGGUUCUUGGAGCUGAAUGUGCUCAACUGUGUAUUUAUGAGCUCUGUUGAUGUUUACUCGAGUGCUGCUUCGGGCUCCCUGCAGCCCGAGCGCGGCCCAGGAGCAGAUAGGCCCCAGCCUGGGGGCCCCAGGUACAGGCUGAAUGUGCGCCAGUGGGACAUCCGCGACUUGACAGCUGCAUGAAGCUUUUCAGCGUUGUAAUUUCAGAUAAUAUCCCGAGCGCUCACUCUUCUCGGCAAUUUGUAUAUGAAUAACCGAAUAAUUUUCCCUUUUGUUCCAUCUGUGCUACCUCAAAUCCAAAUAAAGAUGCCUUUUAGUAUUAAAAGUGGUAGAAAAUUACAGGUAAUUAUCUUUGACGGUAAAAACGCUGUAAUCAGCGGGCUACAUCAAAAAUUACCCUAAUUAUGCCUGCAUUUAUGAGAAUGGAGGAGAAAAAAAAGCCUCACUUGGAUAAAAACCCACAAAUUGUCCCAAAUAUCUCCUUCAUAUUGAACGCCACUGCAGCUGGCUGCUUUGUUCAACAUCGAUCCCGUGGAGCUUGGCAUUUAACGGCCUGCAUUAGGACGGAGAGAAGGGAGAAAACAUUUUGUCAAUACUUCUAAUAAUUGAGGGUGAAAUGACAAGAUAAGCUGGACCUGGAGCAAAUGUCUUUCGAGGUGAAUGUAGACAGCAGCGGUGGAGGUGCCUCUCCCUGGCUUUUCCAUCACGCCCACCUUCCUCUCAUGUCGUCCCCCCACCCCCCCAUCAACCAAGUCCAUGUCCAGCCACCGGUCUCCCAUGUCGUCCCCUUCUCUCCUCUCCAUCUCCCUCUUCAUACCCACUCUACCCCUCUCUCCCUAACCCCACACCUCUCUCCCCCUCUUUCUCCCUCCCCCCAAUAGGUACGCCUCCAUCCCCUCUUGGCAGCUCCGUCUCCUCCUCGCCUCCCCCUGUCUCUCCACCCUCUCCCUGGUUGGUUUCCACAGCUGUGGUGAGUGAGGGGCAGAUGACCGGAGAAUUGGCCCCUGGGAGAGCGCUGAGCCAUCCUGGUGCUAUUAGGCUCGUGGCUAAUAAUAGGUGUUUCAGACCGGGGGAAGAUCAAUCAGGGGGAAUCAUGGGGAAUGUUCAGAGCAGCGCUUUUUACACAUCGGCCCAGAUGGAUGAAAUUACACUUGUCAGUUUUUAGUUGCAUUACUCCCAAAUUGGUUGUCUACUCUUUUUUCUCCUCUCCCUCUCCCUCCCUCUCUCUCACUCUCUCUUCUCUCCUUUCUCUCUCUUUGCCCCCAUUCAUGUGUCAGUGGCCUGCUAAAAGGAUUCGGUGGUGAAAUCCGUGUCAUUUUUGUCUUUUCCCUGUUAUCCCUCAGCCUGCAACUCUUUUUUUGCCCUGCAUAUAUGCACUUAGAAGGAAUCAGUUGAAGAUGUUGUCUUAUGGCUCGGACAAUUUCCGUGUUAAAGGCAAGCGUGCCGAUGACAUUCUGUGUGUGUUCUGCAUGUAUAAUAAAACAAUGUGAUUUAGUCAUUUUCAAACAUUCACAGCAGAAUCAAAUAAACUGAUCAAUUUACAGAAUAUUCAUGUGCAAUAUUCAUAAUCAAUCAAUUAUUUCAAUGAUUUUUUUUCAGCCAAAAUGCCAAAUAAUCACUGUUUUCUGCCUUUGCAAAAUGAGGAUUAUUUUUUUUUCUGCAUAAUGUCAUUUUGAGUUUUGAACAAUUUUUUAAGGAUGCCACUUUUUUUUACCUCAGGAAAAUGAUGAUGGACAUAUAUUUUGUUUGACUUUUGUCAUCAGAAAGUAUUCCAUCCUAUAGCUGUAACUAGUGUGAAAUAAAGGUUUGAAAUCAUGACGCAUUUCCAGUAUUGGGAUUUACAGAGUUUAAACCAAAUGUGUAAAAUGCAGUAAUUAUAUUGUAACUGCAGAAAAAUCCUGUAUAAUUAAAUGUAAUUAAAUCUGCCAAUAGCAAAGGAAACAUUCAGCCUGUAUGUCACUGUUUGAAACUGAAUAAAAGUCACCACACAAUGUU